AUGGCUCAGAUUGAACGCUGGCGGCAGGCCUAACACAUGCAAGUCGAACGGUAACAGGAAACAGCUUGCUGUUUCGCUGACGAGUGGCGGACGGGUGAGUAAUGUCUGGGAAACUGCCUGAUGGAGGGGGAUAACUACUGGAAACGGUAGCUAAUACCGCAUAACGUCGCAAGACCAAAGAGGGGGACCUUCGGGCCUCUUGCCAUCGGAUGUGCCCAGAUGGGAUUAGCUAGUAGGUGGGGUAACGGCUCACCUAGGCGACGAUCCCUAGCUGGUCUGAGAGGAUGACCAGCCACACUGGAACUGAGACACGGUCCAGACUCCUACGGGAGGCAGCAGUGGGGAAUAUUGCACAAUGGGCGCAAGCCUGAUGCAGCCAUGCCGCGUGUAUGAAGAAGGCCUUCGGGUUGUAAAGUACUUUCAGCGGGGAGGAAGGGAGUAAAGUUAAUACCUUUGCUCAUUGACGUUACCCGCAGAAGAAGCACCGGCUAACUCCGUGCCAGCAGCCGCGGUAAUACGGAGGGUGCAAGCGUUAAUCGGAAUUACUGGGCGUAAAGCGCACGCAGGCGGUUUGUUAAGUCAGAUGUGAAAUCCCCGGGCUCAACCUGGGAACUGCAUCUGAUACUGGCAAGCUUGAGUCUCGUAGAGGGGGGUAGAAUUCCAGGUGUAGCGGUGAAAUGCGUAGAGAUCUGGAGGAAUACCGGUGGCGAAGGCGGCCCCCUGGACGAAGACUGACGCUCAGGUGCGAAAGCGUGGGGAGCAAACAGGAUUAGAUACCCUGGUAGUCCACGCCGUAAGCGAUGUCGACUUGGAGGUUGUGCCCUUGAGGCGUGGCUUCCGGAGCUAACGCGUUAAGUCGACCGCCUGGGGAGUACGGCCGCAAGAGUUAAAACUCAAAUGAAUUGACGGGGGCCCGCACAAGCGGUGGAGCAUGUGGUUUAAUUCGAUGCAACGCGAAGAACCUUACCUGGUCUUGACAUCCACGGAAGUUUUCAGAGAUGAGAAUGUGCCUUCGGGAACCGUGAGACAGGUGCUGCAUGGCUGUCGUCAGCUCGUGUUGUGAAAUGUUGGGUUAAGUCCCGCAACGAGCGCAACCCUUAUCCUUUGUUGCCAGCGGUCCGGCCGGGAACUCAAAGGAGACUGCCAGUGAUAAACUGGAGGAAGGUGGGGAUGACGUCAAGUCAUCAUGGCCCUUACGACCAGGGCUACACACGUGCUACAAUGGCGCAUACAAAGAGAAGCGACCUCGCGAGAGCAAGCGGACCUCAUAAAGUGCGUCGUAGUCCGGAUUGGAGUCUGCAACUCGACUCCAUGAAGUCGGAAUCGCUAGUAAUCGUGGAUCGGAAUGCCACGGUGAAUACGUUCCCGGGCCUUGUACACACCGCCCGUCACACCAUGGGAGUGGGUUGCAAAAGAAGUAGGUAGCUUAACCUUCGGGAGGGCGCUUACCACUUUGUGAUUCAUGACUGGGGUGAAGUCGUAACAAGGUAACC
This 1493-nucleotide ribosomal RNA is filed under the name uncultured bacterium. Its description in RNAcentral is "bacterial SSU rRNA". It matches the Rfam family "Bacterial small subunit ribosomal RNA". The record is from RNAcentral.